This is a long non-coding RNA of Sinocyclocheilus rhinocerous, 103 nucleotides long. RefSeq lists it as uncharacterized. The transcript is spliced from 3 exons. NCBI's taxonomy places the organism in Eukaryota, Metazoa, Chordata, Actinopteri, Cypriniformes, Cyprinidae. The record is from RefSeq and is a predicted model, not a curated record.
CAUCUAAAAGAGCAAACAGAAAUGAGAGAUAAACCUGUGUUUGAUUCAAAGAAAUGGCGUCAGCCAUGCAACGCACAUUAAACAAAUUGCAUCCAAACUCCAC